RNAcentral lists this ribosomal RNA (289 nucleotides) under uncultured Dyella sp. RNAcentral's name for it is "partial 16S ribosomal RNA". Lineage: Bacteria; Pseudomonadati; Pseudomonadota; Gammaproteobacteria; Lysobacterales; Rhodanobacteraceae. The record is from RNAcentral.
CUACAAGGGUAUCUAAUCCUGUUUGCUCCCCACGCUUUCGUGCCUCAGCGUCAGUGUUGAUCCAGAUGGCCGCCUUCGCCACUGAUGUUCCUCCCGAUCUCUACGCAUUUCACCGCUACACCGGGAAUUCCACCAUCCUCUAUCACACUCUAGCGAGCCAGUAUCCACUGCCAUUCCCAGGUUGAGCCCGGGGAUUUCACAGCAGACUUAACUCACCGCCUACGCACGCUUUACGCCCAGUAAUUCCGAUUAACGCUUGCACCCUUCGUAUUACCGCGGCUGCUGGCAC